GAUUUCUGGCUUGAAACAUUUAGCCGGCCACGGUUUCGUGUGUUAGUGUUAGAUGUUCUGGCCAUCCUUCCAAUCGCUAUUUGCUUCUCUUCAUUGAUUAGUAAGUAGUAUUGGAUCUUUUACUUUGAAAAAAUUAGAGUGUUUCAAGCAGGCUGUUGCUAUGAAUACAUUAGCAUGGAAUAAUAAUUUAGGACUUCGGUUCUAUUUUGUUGGUUUCUAGGACUGAAGUAAUGAUUGAUAGGGACAGUUGGGGGUGCUAGUAUUCAGCGGCCAGAGGUGAAAUUCUCGGAUUCGCUGAAGACUAACUUAUGCGAAAGCAUU
This 321-nucleotide ribosomal RNA is filed under the name Sandonidae sp. RNAcentral describes it as "SSU rRNA". The stretch from base 110 to 321 matches the Rfam family "Eukaryotic small subunit ribosomal RNA", at positions 742 to 955 of the family's 1831-position model. Lineage: Eukaryota; Cercozoa; Glissomonadida; Sandonidae. The record is from RNAcentral.